GGUUAAGUGACUAAGCGUACACGGUGGAUGCCUUGGCAGUCAGAGGCGAUGAAAGACGUAGUAACUUGCGAUAAGCCCAGAUUAGGUAGUAACAACCAUUUGAGUCUGGGAUUUCUGAAUGGGGAAACCCACUUACAUAAGUAAGUAUCAUUAACUGAAUACAUAGGUUAAUGAGGCGAACCGGGGAACUGAAACAUCUAAGUACCCCGAGGAAAAGAAAUCAACCGAGAUUCCGAAAGUAGCGGCGAGCGAAAUUGGACUAGCCCUUAAGCUUUACACGCGUUAGACGAACGGUCUGGAAAGUCCGACGAUACAGGGUGAUAGUCCCGUAGUUGACGACGUGUGUUCAGUGAAAUCGAGUAGGGCGGGACACGUGAUAUCCUGUCUGAAUAUGGGGGACCAUCCUCCAAGGCUAAAUACUACUGACUGACCGAUAGUGAACCAGUACCGUGAGGGAAAGGCGAAAAGAACCCCUGUGAGGGGAGUGAAAUAGAACCUGAAACCGUGUACGUACAAGCAGUAGGAGCAGGCUUUGUCCUGUGACUGCGUACCUUUUGUAUAAUGGGUCAGCGACUUAUAUUCAGUGGCAAGGUUAACCAUCUAGGGGAGCCGUAGGGAAACCGAGUCUUAACUGGGCGUUCAGUCUCUGGAUAUAGACCCGAAACCAGGUGAUCUAGCCAUGGGCAGGUUGAAGGUUGAGUAACAUCAACUGGAGGACCGAACCGACUAAUGUUGAAAAAUUAGCGGAUGACUUGUGGCUAGGGGUGAAAGGCCAAUCAAACCUGGAGAUAGCUGGUUCUCCCCGAAAGCUAUUUAGGUAGCGCCUCGGACGAAUACUACUGGGGGUAGAGCACUGUUAAGGCUAGGGGGUCAUCCCGACUUACCAACCCUUUGCAAACUCCGAAUACCAGUAAGUACUAUCCGGGAGACACACGGCGGGUGCUAACGUCCGUCGUGGAGAGGGAAACAACCCAGACCGCCAGCUAAGGUCCCAAAUUACUACUAAGUGGGAAACGAUGUGGGAAGGCUCAGACAGCCAGGAUGUUGGCUUAGAAGCAGCCAUCAUUUAAAGAAAGCGUAAUAGCUCACUGGUCGAGUCGGCCUGCGCGGAAGAUGUAACGGGGCUAAGUAGUAAACCGAAGCUGCGGCAAUGUGCUUUUGCACAUUGGGUAGGGGAGCGUUCUGUAAGCGGUUGAAGGUGUGUGGUAACGCAUGCUGGACGUAUCAGAAGUGCGAAUGCUGACAUGAGUAACGAUAAAGGGGUGAAAAACCUCCUCGCCGGAAGACCAAGGGUUCCUGUCCAACGUUAAUCGGGGCAGGGUAAGUCGACCCCUAAGGCGAGGCCGAAAGGCGUAGUCGAUGGGAAACGGGUUAAUAUUCCCGUACUUCUUACAAUUGCGAUGGGGGGACGGAGAAGGCUAGGUGGGCCUGGCGACGGUUGUCCAGGUUCAAGUGCGUAGGCUUAAGAGUUAGGUAAAUCCGGCUCUUUCUAAGGCUGAGACACGACGUCGAGCACCUACGGGUGUGAAGUCAUUGAUGCCAUGCUUCCAGGAAAAGCCUCUAAGCUUCAGAUUGUAAGGAAUCGUACCCCAAACCGACACAGGAGGUCGGGUAGAGAAUACCAAGGCGCUUGAGAGAACUCGGGUGAAGGAACUAGGCAAAAUGGUACCGUAACUUCGGGAGAAGGUACGCUCUUGAUGGUGAAGUCCCUUGCGGAUGGAGCUGACGAGAGUCGCAGAUACCAGGUGGCUGCAACUGUUUAUUAAAAACACAGCACUGUGCAAAAUCGUAAGAUGACGUAUACGGUGUGACGCCUGCCCGGUGCCGGAAGGUUAAUUGAUGGGGUUAGACUUCGGUCGAAGCUCUUGAUCGAAGCCCCGGUAAACGGCGGCCGUAACUAUAACGGUCCUAAGGUAGCGAAAUUCCUUGUCGGGUAAGUUCCGACCUGCACGAAUGGCGUAAUGAUGGCCACGCUGUCUCCACCCGAGACUCAGUGAAAUUGAAAUCGCUGUGAAGAUGCAGUGUACCCGCGGCUAGACGGAAAGACCCCGUGAACCUUUACUACAGCUUGGCACUGAACAUUGACCCUACAUGUGUAGGAUAGGUGGGAGGCUUUGAAGCACGUACGCCAGUAUGUGUGGAGCCGUCCUUGAAAUACCACCCUUGUAGUGUUGAUGUUCUAACGUCGACCCCUUAUCGGGGUUACGGACAGUGCCUGGUGGGUAGUUUGACUGGGGCGGUCUCCUCCCAAAGAGUAACGGAGGAGCACGAAGGUGGGCUAAUCACGGUUGGACAUCGUGAGGUUAGUGCAAUGGCAUAAGCCCGCUUGACUGCGAGAAUGACAAUUCGAGCAGGUGCGAAAGCAGGUCAUAGUGAUCCGGUGGUUCUGAAUGGAAGGGCCAUCGCUCAACGGAUAAAAGGUACUCCGGGGAUAACAGGCUGAUACCGCCCAAGAGUUCAUAUCGACGGCGGUGUUUGGCACCUCGAUGUCGGCUCAUCACAUCCUGGGGCUGAAGUCGGUCCCAAGGGUAUGGCUGUUCGCCAUUUAAAGUGGUACGCGAGCUGGGUUUAGAACGUCGUGAGACAGUUCGGUCCCUAUCUGCCGUGGGCGUUGGAAGAUUGAAGGGGCUGCUCCUAGUACGAGAGGACCGGAGUGGACGAACCUCUGGUGUUCGGGUUGUGUCGCCAGACGCAUUGCCCGGUAGCUAAGUUCGGAAUCGAUAACCGCUGAAAGCAUCUAAGCGGGAAGCGAGGCCCUGAGAUGAGUCUUCCCUGAUACUUUAAGUAUCCUAAAGGGUUGUCGGAGACUACGACGUUGAUAGGUCAGGUGUGUAAGUGCUGUGAGGCAUUGAGCUAACUGAUACUAAUUGCCCGUGAGGCUUAACCAU
RNAcentral lists this ribosomal RNA (2888 nucleotides) under Vibrio parahaemolyticus. Its description in RNAcentral is "23S ribosomal RNA". It matches the Rfam family "Bacterial large subunit ribosomal RNA". Lineage: Bacteria; Pseudomonadati; Pseudomonadota; Gammaproteobacteria; Vibrionales; Vibrionaceae. The record is from RNAcentral.